RNAcentral lists this ribosomal RNA (253 nucleotides) under uncultured bacterium. RNAcentral's name for it is "partial 16S ribosomal RNA". It matches the Rfam family "Bacterial small subunit ribosomal RNA", at positions 524 to 776 of the family's 1533-position model. The record is from RNAcentral.
UACGUAGGGGGCUAGCGUUGUUCGGAAUUAUUGGGCGUAAAGCGCGCGUAGGCGGUGAUGUUUGUCAGAGGUGAAAGCCCGGGGCUCAACCCCGGAACUGCCUUUGAAACUGGGUGGCUAGAAUCUUGGAGAGGCGAGUGGAAUUCCGAGUGUAGAGGUGAAAUUCGUAGAUAUUCGGAAGAACACCAGUGGCGAAGGCGACUCGCUGGACAAGUAUUGACGCUGAGGUGCGAAAGCGUGGGGAGCAAACAGG